RNAcentral lists this unclassified non-coding RNA (534 nucleotides) under Melitaea cinxia (Glanville fritillary). RNAcentral's name for it is "misc RNA ENSMCXG00005020531.1". Lineage: Eukaryota; Metazoa; Arthropoda; Insecta; Lepidoptera; Nymphalidae. The record is from RNAcentral.
CAGUUCGCGCACGGCGCUUGGCGACAACGGAUGUGUAAAAGCUGGUUCAUGAUGAGUUCCCUACUGGCGGAUCGAAUUAUAGAAGAAUGUUUAGAACAAGAAGAUAGUGAAGAAGAAAAUGUGAUAUGAUCACGAAAGCGGAACAGAGCAAGAAGCAAGUGAUUCAGAUGGGUCUUCAGUGUCGGAAGAGAGUUUUCCUUCGAAUUUACAUAUUGAGAAUACUGAAGAUGAAGAAUAUUUAGAGGAUGUACCGUUGAAGUACUUGAGGCGAGGUCGUUUUACUGGAAAAGACAAAAGAACUCGCUGGCAAGUUCGUGAGCCGCCGCGACGUGUACGAACAAGAUCCCAUAACAUUAUAUAUCAUUUGCCGGGACCGAUUGGCGAAGGCAAAUCUUGUUCGUCUAUGUUAGAAGCCUGGAAUCUUUUUUUUCCGGAAACGUGUUUACUAAAGAUAGUCCAGUAUACUAACAUUUAUAUAGAAGAGCUAAAGUCUAAAUUCUCAAGAGAACGCGAUUGUAAAAGUACAGAUAUCGU